UCGACGGCCGUGAUUCGAGCCGGACUCGCGGUGCAUCUAGAUUAAUGGAAUGGCUCAUUACAACAGUUAUUGUUUAUUUGAUACAUUAAAUGGAUAACUGUAGAAAAACUAGAGCUAAUACAUGCUUAAACCGUAAGGUUGUAUUUAUUAGAUAUUCCGGAUUGGUGAAUCAUAAUAACUUCGCAAAUCUCGUUUAUGACGAGAUAAAUCAUCCAAGUUUCUGCCCUAUCAUGCUUUCGAUGGUAGUGUAUUGGACUACCAUGGCUUUCACGGGUAACAGGGUUUUAGGGCCCGAUUCUGGAGAAGGAGCCUGAGAAACGGCUACUACAUCUACGGAAGGCAGCAGGCGCGUAAAUUACCCAAUCCUGACUCAGGGAGGUGGUGACAAGAUAUAACAACGCAAUUUCAUUGUGAUUGUAGUGAGGGUAUUCCAAACCGAACCACUAGUACGAUUAGAGGGCAAGUCUGGUGCCAGCAGCCGCGGUAAUUCCAGCUCUAAUAGCGUAUAUUAAAGUUGCUGCAGUUAAAAGCUCGUAGUUGGAUUUCAAGGAUUGUAAACCCUCCGGGGAAUACAUCCUACUAGUCUUCGGACUGUUACUGUGAGAAAUUAGGUGUUUCAGCAGGCUUUCCCAGAAUACAUUAGCAUGGAAUAACGAAUGUAUUUUGAAACUCUGGUUAAUUCCUAUCAGAUUACAACACGUUGGGGGGCUUUUAUAUUAUUAUGUGAGAAGAGAUAUACUCGGGGGGUGUGUA
RNAcentral lists this ribosomal RNA (753 nucleotides) under uncultured rumen protozoa. Its description in RNAcentral is "bacterial SSU rRNA". It matches the Rfam family "Eukaryotic small subunit ribosomal RNA", at positions 56 to 932 of the family's 1831-position model. The record is from RNAcentral.